CACAGGAAUUUACCGUGAUCCAUCCUGCACCAACAAGACAAACCAUGCAGUGCUGGUUGUGGGAUAUGGUGGGCGUGCUGGACAGGACUUUUUGGCUGGUCAAAAACAGUUGGGCUACCACAUUUGGGGAGAAAGGCUACGUCCGUAUGGCCAGAAACCAGAACAACAUGUGUGGUAUCGCCUCAAGAGCCAUCUAUCCGGUUAUGUAGCUGAAAUCUAUAAAUAUAUCAUAAUAACAUUGAAUUUAUAAGUAAUUUUUUAUUUUUCUUUCUUUUUUGACUUGUAAAGCUUUACAGUUUUUUUCAACUGCUUAUACACAUUUUCAAAACUUUGCCUCUCUUUUUCAAAACUUUACACACAAAUUCAAGAAUUGCACACACAAAAUGCAAAAUGACUCACAUCUUUUGAAAAAUGAAGCACUGCAUUCAAAAUAUCACAAAAACAUCUCAAAAGCAAACAUUUGUCUUAAGUUGCAAACACCUUUGCCAUAAUAUUAUAUUUUUGGAUAUAUCAUAUACACACAGUUAUUCAAAACCUAAAGCUCUUCUUUCAUGAGCUCCUAUGUAUAUUUCUGUACAAGAUUAAAAGUAAUUGGCUGAGAGAUGUUGAAAAAUCCAUGGUAAACACGAAAGCAAGAUUGAAAACAAACUAUUUUUUUAAUGACAGUUACUGUAUGGAAAUGCAGAAGGCUGCACUUCAUAUAUAUGCCAUUUAUCCAUUUAAAGAGUAUAAAUUUACACAUUAUUGGGAUGCUGAUUGAAAGAGACUGAAUUAGAUUCACAGCUUAACAGUUACACUGACACAUUAAAACGUCAUUGUGACAGUAAAGAAAAAGACAUAUGGGCACAUAGGUGAAAAUACAAAAUUAGAAAUGCACCAAAGCCACUGAGAAAAACUGUAUAACUUGACCUGUGGCCUAUUUAUAGUCUUAUUCUAAAGCCGUAAUUGGUUGGUGUUAAGUAAAGCAAUGAGUGUUUGCACACGUGAGGGCUUAGUGUGAGGCACUGAUGAAUUAGUGUGGCAUUUUAAAAGGUUGUGUUGAAAAAAGGAAAUCAAGAUACUUCCUGUUAGAUUCUUGUGUGUUACAUAAAGAAUUGUGUGCUGUGUGUUGCAAAAGUGUUUUAAAAAUUAAAAAUGUUGUAUGCAGUUGAAAAAAAA
Labeo rohita (rohu) is the source of this 1158-nucleotide long non-coding RNA. RefSeq lists it as uncharacterized. Lineage: Eukaryota; Metazoa; Chordata; Actinopteri; Cypriniformes; Cyprinidae. The transcript has 2 exons. The record is from RefSeq and is a predicted model, not a curated record.